UUCUAUGGCCAUACCACCCUGAACAUGCCCAAUCUCAUCUGAUCUCAGAAACUAAGCAGGGUCGGACAUUGUUAGUACUUGGAUGGGAGAAACAGGAUAUGUUUCCUUCAAUA
This is a ribosomal RNA of Bison bison bison, 113 nucleotides long. The record is from Ensembl. Lineage: Eukaryota; Metazoa; Chordata; Mammalia; Artiodactyla; Bovidae.